RNAcentral lists this ribosomal RNA (2622 nucleotides) under Burkholderia cenocepacia. RNAcentral describes it as "partial 23S ribosomal RNA". It matches the Rfam family "Bacterial large subunit ribosomal RNA", at positions 303 to 2925 of the family's 2925-position model. Lineage: Bacteria; Pseudomonadati; Pseudomonadota; Betaproteobacteria; Burkholderiales; Burkholderiaceae. The record is from RNAcentral.
GAGCCUUGCACUCUUUAUUUGUAUUGUUAGCCGAACGCUCUGGAAAGUGCGGCCAUAGCAGGUGAUAGCCCUGUAGGCGAAAACAGUAUGAAAGAACUAGGUGUGCGACAAGUAGGGCGGGACACGUGAAAUCCUGUCUGAAGAUGGGGGGACCAUCCUCCAAGGCUAAAUACUCGUGAUCGACCGAUAGUGAACCAGUACCGUGAGGGAAAGGCGAAAAGAACCCCGGGAGGGGAGUGAAAUAGAUCCUGAAACCGCAUGCAUACAAACAGUCGGAGCCUCGUAAGGGGUGACGGCGUACCUUUUGUAUAAUGGGUCAGCGACUUACGUUCAGUAGCAAGCUUAACCGUAUAGGGCAGGCGUAGCGAAAGCGAGUCCGAAUAGGGCGUUCAGUUGCUGGGCGUAGACCCGAAACCAGGUGAUCUAUCCAUGGCCAGGAUGAAGGUGCGGUAACACGUACUGGAGGUCCGAACCCACUAACGUUGAAAAGUUAGGGGAUGAGCUGUGGAUAGGGGUGAAAGGCUAAACAAACCUGGAAAUAGCUGGUUCUCUCCGAAAACUAUUUAGGUAGUGCCUCGUGUCUCACCUUCGGGGGUAGAGCACUGUCAUGGUUGGGGGGUCUAUUGCAGAUUACCCCGCCAUAGCAAACUCCGAAUACCGAAGAGUGCAAUCACGGGAGACAGACAUCGGGUGCUAACGUCCGGUGUCAAGAGGGAAACAACCCAGACCGCCAGCUAAGGUCCCCAAAUAUAGCUAAGUGGGAAACGAAGUGGGAAGGCUAAAACAGUCAGGAGGUUGGCUUAGAAGCAGCCACCCUUUAAAGAAAGCGUAAUAGCUCACUGAUCGAGUCGUCCUGCGCGGAAGAUGUAACGGGGCUAAGCUAUAUACCGAAGCUGCGGAUGCGAGCUUUGCUCGCAUGGUAGGAGAGCGUUCCGUAAGCCUGCGAAGGUGCCUUGUAAAGGGUGCUGGAGGUAUCGGAAGUGCGAAUGCUGACAUGAGUAGCGAUAAAGGGGGUGAAAGGCCCCCUCGCCGUAAGCCCAAGGUUUCCUACGCAACGUUCAUCGGCGUAGGGUGAGUCGGCCCCUAAGGCGAGGCAGAAAUGCGUAGCUGAUGGGAAGCAGGUCAAUAUUCCUGCACCAUUGUUAGAUGCGAUGGGGGGACGGAUCGCGGAAGGUUGUCCGGGUGUUGGAAGUCCCGGUCGCUGCAUUGGAGAAGGCGCUUAGGCAAAUCCGGGCGCGUAAUUCAAGGGUGUGGCGCGAGCUCCUUAGGGAGCGAAGCAAUUGGAAGUGGUUCCAAGAAAAGCCUCUAAGCUUCAGUCUAACGAUGACCGUACCGCAAACCGACACAGGUGGGCGAGAUGAGUAUUCUAAGGCGCUUGAGAGAACUCGGGAGAAGGAACUCGGCAAAUUGGUACCGUAACUUCGGGAUAAGGUACGCCCUUGUAGCUUGACUGGCCUGCGCCAGGAGGGUGAAGGGGUUGCAAUAAACUGGUGGCUGCGACUGUUUAAUAAAAACACAGCACUCUGCAAACACGAAAGUGGACGUAUAGGGUGUGACGCCUGCCCGGUGCCGGAAGAUUAAAUGAUGGGGUGCAAGCUCUUGAUUGAAGUCCCGGUAAACGGCGGCCGUAACUAUAACGGUCCUAAGGUAGCGAAAUUCCUUGUCGGGUAAGUUCCGACCUGCACGAAUGGCGUAACGAUGGCCACACUGUCUCCUCCCGAGACUCAGCGAAGUUGAAGUGUUUGUGAUGAUGCAAUCUACCCGCGGCUAGACGGAAAGACCCCAUGAACCUUUACUGUAGCUUUGCAUUGGACUUUGAACCGAUCUGUGUAGGAUAGGUGGGAGGCUAUGAAACCGGAACGCUAGUUUCGGUGGAGCCGUCCUUGAAAUACCACCCUGGUUUGUUUGAGGUUCUAACCUUGGCCCGUGAUCCGGGUCGGGGACAGUGCAUGGUAGGCAGUUUGACUGGGGCGGUCUCCUCCCAAAGCGUAACGGAGGAGUACGAAGGUACGCUAGGUACGGUCGGAAAUCGUGCUGAUAGUGCAAUGGCAUAAGCGUGCUUAACUGCGAGACCGACAAGUCGAGCAGGUGCGAAAGCAGGUCAUAGUGAUCCGGUGGUUCUGUAUGGAAGGGCCAUCGCUCAACGGAUAAAAGGUACUCUGGGGAUAACAGGCUGAUACCGCCCAAGAGUUCAUAUCGACGGCGGUGUUUGGCACCUCGAUGUCGGCUCAUCUCAUCCUGGGGCUGUAGCCGGUCCCAAGGGUAUGGCUGUUCGCCAUUUAAAGAGGUACGUGAGCUGGGUUUAAAACGUCGUGAGACAGUUUGGUCCCUAUCUGCCGUGGGCGUUGGAUAUUUGAAGGGGGCUGCUCCUAGUACGAGAGGACCGGAGUGGACGAACCUCUGGUGUACCGGUUGUCACGCCAGUGGCAUCGCCGGGUAGCUAUGUUCGGAAGAGAUAACCGCUGAAAGCAUCUAAGCGGGAAACUCGCCUUAAGAUGAGAUAUCCCUGGGGACUAGAUCCCCUUGAAGGGUCGUUCGAGACCAGGACGUUGAUAGGUCAGGUGUGUAAGCGCAGUAAUGCGUUCAGCUAACUGAUACUAAUUGCCCGUAAGGCUUGAUCCU